GUCAUUGUUCCUGACAUCACGAGGGCCCUGGCUGCAUCCCUGGCCUCGGAACUGCCAGGAAAACUCCAGUCUAGCUGUAACCAUCAAGGAUCCUGAAAAGUUACCACGUUACUUCCCCAAGUUAUGUGCACCCACUGCAGGAAUGAGUAAAGGCCAGGAGACUGUGGGCUGGCGACUGAGUAACAACAGAAGCCUUGAGUCAAAGUAAAAUGAAAUGAUAUUGCAAGUAUGUGAAUUUUAACUAUUUUUACAAUAACUUAUAAAGUAA
RNAcentral lists this long non-coding RNA (268 nucleotides) under Rattus norvegicus (Norway rat). RNAcentral's name for it is "long non-coding RNA NONRATT032212". Lineage: Eukaryota; Metazoa; Chordata; Mammalia; Rodentia; Muridae. The record is from RNAcentral.